Molecule: long non-coding RNA, 589 nt
Organism: Artibeus jamaicensis (Jamaican fruit-eating bat)
Lineage: Eukaryota; Metazoa; Chordata; Mammalia; Chiroptera; Phyllostomidae
Exons: 2
Source: RefSeq, a predicted model, not a curated record
CAGAACAUGCAGAUAAACUUCCCAGUGUUUACCGACUUCUCUUGGACUUUCGCAUAUCCUCGCAAUAAUCGUCACAUGAAAACACAAGCUAGAAUUCAGAAAUGGGCCAAUAACAACUCCCUCAUCACAGGCUGGGCUAGAUUUCCAAAAGCGUCAGAUGCUGAACACAGCUUCUCCAGGAAAGGUGGUAAUUGACAAUAGGCCUCCAUGGAAGUCUUCCCAGCAUUUUCCGCAAAAAUUUAGAAAACAUUAGGUUUGACACCAUCAUCCUGUUUGCCAAGACAGCAAAAAUCCCAGCCGGCAAAACUUCGAGUGUGAUGAAGCGGAACAGUGAGGACAGCACAGAAUCACUGAGCAUUUCAGGAUGCCGUUAGCAAGGGUUUCCAGUGCGGGAGUUUUCCACCGCCUCGGAAGCAGAAGUAGCAGGGCGUGGCUCCUGUGGGGACAGCCAAGGUGAUGUAAUGAGGAUUUCCUCCUCUCUCCUGCCUUUCCUCUCCACCCUCAGGGGGUUCCUGGAGUUAAAAUUAUUUUUUAAAUAUUUUCAUUUAACAAUAAAAACUUUAAAAAAAUUAAUUAAGUUGAAAUUGCA